AACCUGCCCUGAAGUGGGGGACAACAGUUCGAAAGGACUGCUAAUACCGCAUGUGGUCAACCUUUGGCAUCUUAGGUUGACUAAAGGAUUUAUUCGCUUCAGGAUGGGCUUGCGGCCUAUCAGGUAGUUGGUGGGGUAAUGGCCUACCAAGCCGACGACGGGUAGCUGGUCUGAGAGGACGAUCAGCCGGAUUGGGACUGAGAUACGGCCCAGACUCCUACGGGGGGCAGCAAUUAGGAAUCUUGCACAAUGGGGGAAACCCUGAUGCAGCGACGCCGCGUGAAG
RNAcentral lists this ribosomal RNA (285 nucleotides) under uncultured bacterium. RNAcentral describes it as "partial 16S ribosomal RNA". It matches the Rfam family "Bacterial small subunit ribosomal RNA", at positions 123 to 406 of the family's 1533-position model. The record is from RNAcentral.